Molecule: RNase P RNA, 310 nt
Filed under: Bacillota bacterium
Lineage: Bacteria; Bacillati; Bacillota
Description: Firmicutes bacterium (anaerobic digester metagenome) partial RNase P RNA component class A
Rfam family: Bacterial RNase P class A
About the family: Ribonuclease P (RNase P) is a ubiquitous endoribonuclease, found in archaea, bacteria and eukarya as well as chloroplasts and mitochondria. Its best characterised activity is the generation of mature 5'-ends of tRNAs by cleaving the 5'-leader elements of precursor-tRNAs. Cellular RNase Ps are ribonucleoproteins.
Source: RNAcentral
CAAGCAGAUCGGGUAGUCGCGGGCCUAUCCACUGCGUAUUAUCGCAAGGGAUGGCGCUCGAGGAAAGUCCGAACUCCAUAGGGCUGGGUGCUGGAUAACUUCCAGUGGGGGUGACCCUAAGGAAAGUGCCACAGAAAUUAAACCGCUCUCCAGUCUGAUUCAAACCGUAAAGGGUCGGAUUAGCGGAGAGUAAGGGUGAAACGGUGCGGUAAGAGCGCACCGGCAACCAGGUGACUGGUUGGCCAGGUAAACCCCACCCGGAGCAAGACCGAAUAGGAGGGACAUGAGGUGGCCCGCCUCCCCCUCGGGU